CAAGGAAUUUUCCGCAAUGGGGGAAACCCUGACGGAGCAACGCCGCGUGAGUGAUGAAGCCUUUCGGGGUGUAAAACUCUUUUCUGAGGGAAGAAGAUCUGACGGUACCUCAGGAAUAAGCAUCGGCUAACUACGUGCCAGCAGCCGCGGUAAUACGUAGGAUGCAAGCGUUGUCCGGAAUUACUGGGCGUAAAGAGCGCGCAGGCGGCACUUUAAGUAGGGCGUGAAAUCUCUCGGCUUAACUGAGAGGGGUCGUUCUAAACUGGAGAGCUAACGAGGGCAGGAGAGGAAAGUGGAAUUCCCGGUGUAGUGGUGAGAUGCGUAGAUAUCGGGAGGAACACCUGUGGCGAAGGCGACUUUCUGGCCUGUUCCUGACGCUGAGGCGCGAAGGCUAGGGGAGCGAACGG
Molecule: ribosomal RNA, 407 nt
Filed under: uncultured bacterium
Lineage: Bacteria
Description: bacterial SSU rRNA
Rfam family: Bacterial small subunit ribosomal RNA
Source: RNAcentral